This 253-nucleotide ribosomal RNA is filed under the name uncultured bacterium. Its description in RNAcentral is "partial 16S ribosomal RNA". It matches the Rfam family "Bacterial small subunit ribosomal RNA", at positions 85 to 339 of the family's 1533-position model. The record is from RNAcentral.
UUCGGGGUUAGUGGCGGACGGGUGAGUAACACGUGGGAACGUGCCCUUUGGUUCGGAACAACACAGGGAAACUUGUGCUAAUACCGGAUAAGCCCCCUUUCUUUAGCGAGGGAGGGGGGAAAGAUUUAUUGCCAUUGGAGCGGCCCGCGUUGGAUUAGGUAGUUGGUGAGGUAAAGGCUCACCAAGCCUGCGAUCCAUAGCUGGUCUGAGAGGAUGAUCAGCCACAUUGGGACUGAGACACGGCCCAAACUCC